AACAAACCUAUGAAGGAGAAUAGUAGGUAGGGUUUGAACUUAAGAGAGCCGGUGGAUGGUGCGAACCGGUGUUUGACCUUAUUGAAUCCACUCUUGAGGGUUUGCGAUGAGCAAAACGGUGUGGCCGUUAUACCACGUUGAGAGGACUGCUAAAAUUUUGUAUUUAGUGGUCAAAUAGGGUGGCACCGCGAAAGAUAGGCCUUUCGUCCCUUUG
RNAcentral lists this non-coding RNA (214 nucleotides) under Caloramator mitchellensis. RNAcentral's name for it is "T-box sequence". It matches the Rfam family "T-box leader". From Rfam's summary of the family: Uncharged tRNA acts as the effector for transcription antitermination of genes in the T-box leader family. T-boxes are found upstream of many aminoacyl-tRNA synthetase genes and some amino acid biosynthetic genes usually in Gram-positive bacteria. Lineage: Bacteria; Bacillati; Bacillota; Clostridia; Eubacteriales; Clostridiaceae. The record is from RNAcentral.